CUGCCGGAGGUCACUGCUAUCAGUGUUCGANUAAGCCAUGCAAGUCAAAUGUUCUUCGUGAACAUGGCGGACUGCUCAGUAACACGUGGAUAACCUGCCNUUAGGAUUGGCAUAACACCGGGAAACUGGUGAUAAUACCGAAUAGACCAUUUAUGCUGGAAUGCUUUUUGGUCAAAAGGCUCCGGCUGCCUAAGGAUGGAUCUGCGGCCUAUCAGGUAGUAGUGGGUGUAAUGUACCUACUAGCCUACGACGGGUACGGGUUGUGAGAGCAAGAGCCCGGAGAUGGAUUCUGAGACAUGAAUCCAGGCCCUACGGGGCGCAGCGGGCGCGAAAACUUUACAAUGCGGGAAACCGCGAUAAGGGGACACUGAGUGCCAGCAUAUUAUGUUGGCUGUCCACAUGUAUAAAAACCAUGUGUUAGCAAGGGCCGGGCAAGACCGGUGCCAGCCGCCGCGGUAACACCGGCGGCCCGAGUGGUGAUCACUUUUAUUGGGUCUAAAGGGUCCGUAGCCGGUUUAAUCAGUCUUCUGGGAAAUCUGACAGCUCAACUGUUAGGCUUUCAGGGGAUACUGUUAAACUUGGGACCGGGAGAGGUAAGAGGUACUACAGGGGUAGGAGUGAAAUCUUGUAAUCCCUGUGGGACCACCAGUGGCGAAGGCGUCUUACCAGAACGGGUCCGACGGUGAGGGACGAAAGCAGGGGGCACGAACCGGAUUAGAUACCCGGGUAGUCCCAGCCGUAAACGAUGUUCGCUAGGUGUCAGGGACGGUGCGACCGUUUCUGGUGCCGUAGGGAAGCCGUGAAGCGAACCACCUGGGAAGUACGGCCGCAAGGCUGAAACUUAAAGGAAUUGGCGGG
RNAcentral lists this ribosomal RNA (858 nucleotides) under uncultured archaeon. RNAcentral describes it as "bacterial SSU rRNA". It matches the Rfam family "Archaeal small subunit ribosomal RNA", at positions 14 to 872 of the family's 1478-position model. The record is from RNAcentral.